Rhododendron vialii is the source of this 92-nucleotide small nucleolar RNA. RefSeq annotates it as small nucleolar RNA snoR128. The transcript has a single exon. NCBI's taxonomy places the organism in Eukaryota, Viridiplantae, Streptophyta, Magnoliopsida, Ericales, Ericaceae. The record is from RefSeq and is a predicted model, not a curated record.
UUGCCAUGAUGAAUGCUAUAACUUAUUGAAAGUAUGCAAAUGCUUGAUGAAGUGUCGGCAAUCUUGUCGAUCCUGAGCGGUUACCUGAGCAA